This 163-nucleotide ribosomal RNA is filed under the name Tordylium maximum. Its description in RNAcentral is "5.8S ribosomal RNA". It matches the Rfam family "5.8S ribosomal RNA". From Rfam's summary of the family: 5.8S ribosomal RNA (5.8S rRNA) is a component of the large subunit of the eukaryotic ribosome. It is transcribed by RNA polymerase I as part of the 45S precursor that also contains 18S and 28S rRNA. Lineage: Eukaryota; Viridiplantae; Streptophyta; Magnoliopsida; Apiales; Apiaceae. The record is from RNAcentral.
AACUGACUCUCGACAACGGAUAUCUCGGCUCUCGCAUCGAUGAAGAACGUAGCGAAAUGCGAUACUUGGUGUGAAUUGCAGAAUCCCGUGAACCAUCGAGUCUUUGAACGCAAGUUGCGCCCGAAGCCAUUAGGCUGAGGGCACGUCUGCCUGGGUGUCACGC